This 460-nucleotide ribosomal RNA is filed under the name uncultured bacterium. Its description in RNAcentral is "partial 16S ribosomal RNA". It matches the Rfam family "Bacterial small subunit ribosomal RNA", at positions 338 to 795 of the family's 1533-position model. The record is from RNAcentral.
CCUACGGGAGACAGCAGUGAGGAAUAUUGGUCAAUGGACGAGAGUCUGAACCAGCCAAGUAGCGUGAAGGAUGACUGCCCUAUGGGUUGUAAACUUCUUUUAUAUGGGAAUAAAAUGUUCCACGUGUGGGAUUUUGUAUGUACCAUAUGAAUAAGGAUCAGCUAACUCCGUGCCAGCAGCCGCGGUAAUACGGAGGAUCCGAGCGUUAUCCGGAUUUAUUGGGUUUAAAGGGAGCGUAGGUGGAUUGUUAAGUCAGUUGUGAAAGUUUGCGGCUCAACCGUAAAAUUGCAGUUGAAACUGGCAGUCUUGAGUACAGUAGAGGUGGGCGGAAUUCGUGGUGUAGCGGUGAAAUGCUUAGAUAUCACGAAGAACUCCGAUUGCGAAGGCAGUUCACUGGACUGCAACUGACACUGAGGCUCGAAAGUGUGGGUAUCAAACAGGAUUAGAUACCCGUGUAGUC